AACCCGUGGUUUGGACAUCGCUUAAGGCACACUUUAAACCUUUCCCACGCAUCAUACAAGGUCUCACCGUCGGCUUGUUCAAAGUUACUUAUUUCUGCUCUU
Small nucleolar RNA from Trifolium pratense (red clover), 102 nucleotides. The record is from RefSeq and is a predicted model, not a curated record. NCBI's taxonomy places the organism in Eukaryota, Viridiplantae, Streptophyta, Magnoliopsida, Fabales, Fabaceae.